This 301-nucleotide ribosomal RNA is filed under the name uncultured bacterium. RNAcentral's name for it is "partial 16S ribosomal RNA". It matches the Rfam family "Bacterial small subunit ribosomal RNA", at positions 509 to 807 of the family's 1533-position model. The record is from RNAcentral.
CAGUAGCCACGGUAACACGUAGGGUGCAAGCGUUAAUCGGAAUUACUGGGCGUAAAGCGUGCGCAGGCGGUUAUAUAAGACAGUCGUGAAAUCCCCGGGCUCAACCUGGGAACUGCGAUUGUGACUGUAUGGCUAGAGUGUGUCAGAGGGGGGUAGAAUUCCACGUGUAGCAGUGAAAUGCGUAGAUAUGUGGAGGAAUACCGAUGGCGAAGGCAGCCCCCUGGGAUAACACUGACGCUCAUGCACGAAAGCGUGGGGAGCAAACAGGAUUAGAUACCCCAGUAGUCCCUGUCUCUUAUAC